UCCUCCUUUGGAGCUUCAGCUGGAGUUUCUGGUGCCCGUGACGGCGCUUCUGCCUCAGUUGCAACCUCGGUAGUCUCUUUGGGAGCCUCCUCAACAACGGUGUCUGGUGCUGGUUCCCCUUUUGGAGUCUCUUCAACACCCACAGGCUCUGGUGUUUCUUCCUUAGGUUUCUCUUCUUCUUCAGUUUUCUCUACUUUUGGCUCUUCUGUCACAGUCUUGGCCUCUCCAACUUCUAACACCUCUUUAGUUUCAACAACUACUUCAGCCGGAGCAUCAGCCUCCUUUGUUGCUACAGUUUCUUCAGAUACUGCAACCGCCUCAGCUUCUUUUGGCUCCUCUUUUGGCUUUUCAGCAACUGGCUCUACUGCUGGUGCUGCCUCUUCUUUUAUGGUCUCUGAAACCUUCGCUUCUUCAUGUUUUUCCUCUGCAAGUGCAGUCUG
RNAcentral lists this unclassified non-coding RNA (440 nucleotides) under Hevea brasiliensis (rubber tree). Lineage: Eukaryota; Viridiplantae; Streptophyta; Magnoliopsida; Malpighiales; Euphorbiaceae. The record is from RNAcentral.